This is a non-coding RNA of Mycena galericulata, 93 nucleotides long. Lineage: Eukaryota; Fungi; Basidiomycota; Agaricomycetes; Agaricales; Mycenaceae. The record is from the annotation of a GenBank genome assembly.
GGCCCAGUGGUGUAGUGGUAACACAUCCUCUUAAGCUUCAUGUAUAUUUCGCUACUUGUGAGGAAAUACCCUGUUCGAUUCAGGGCUGGGCCA